ACAUUGCCGCAACGCACUGGUUCUCCGGUACGCACCGGAGAGGCAAGAGGGAACACGGAACGGCUUUCGGGCCGAAGCCGUGGCUGCCCCCGCAACUGUGAGCGGCGAGUUUGCUGUCCAAUCUUGGCCACUGGGCAACCGGGAAGGCCGGACGGUAAAUCAGGACCCGCAAGCCAGGAGACCUGCCAGCGCAGUCACCCAACC
Molecule: non-coding RNA, 204 nt
Filed under: Pseudorhodoplanes sinuspersici
Lineage: Bacteria; Pseudomonadati; Pseudomonadota; Alphaproteobacteria; Hyphomicrobiales
Source: RNAcentral